Molecule: ribosomal RNA, 372 nt
Filed under: uncultured organism
Description: bacterial SSU rRNA
Rfam family: Bacterial small subunit ribosomal RNA
Source: RNAcentral
CGGAGGGCGCAAGCGUUGUUCGGAAUUACUGGGCGUAAAGCGCGCGCAGGCGGGAAGGUAAGUCUGGAGUGAAAUUCCGGGGCUCAACUCCGGAGCUGCUUUGGAUACUGUCUUUCUAGGGACCGGUAGAGGCCGGUGGAAUUCCCGGUGUAGCGGUGGAAUGCGUAGAGAUCGGGAAGAACACCCGUGGCGAAGGCGGCCGGCUGGGCCGGGUCCGACGCUGAGGCGCGAAAGCGUGGGGAGCAAACAGGAUUAGAUACCCUGGUAGUCCACGCUGUAAACGAUGGGCACUAGGUGCCGGGGGGAGCGACCCCGUCGGUGCCGCAGCUAACGCGAUAAGUGCCCCGCCUGGGGAGUACGGCCGCAAGGCUG